UGGGGAAUAUUGCACAAUGGAGGGAACUCUGAUGCAGCGACGCCGCGUGAACGAAGAAGGCUUUCGAGUCGUAAAGUUCUUUUAUAUGGGAAGAAAAGGACUGUACCAUAGGAGAAAGCUCCGGCUAAAUACGUGCCAGCAGCCGCGGUAAUACGUAUGGAGCGAGCGUUGUCCGGAAUUAUUGGGCGUAAAGGGUGCGCAGGCGGCUUUACAAGUUGGAUGUGAAAUAUUGUGGCUCAACCACAAACGUGCAUCCAAAACUGCAAAGCUUGAGUUAAGGAGAGGUAAGUGGAAUUCCUGGUGUAGCGGUGGAAUGCGUAGAUAUCAGGAGGAAUACCGGUGGCGAAGGCGACUUACUGGACUUAAACUGACGCUCAGGCACGAAAGCGUGGGGAGCAAACAGG
This 404-nucleotide ribosomal RNA is filed under the name Fusobacteriota bacterium. RNAcentral's name for it is "Fusobacteria bacterium partial 16S ribosomal RNA". It matches the Rfam family "Bacterial small subunit ribosomal RNA", at positions 355 to 776 of the family's 1533-position model. Lineage: Bacteria; Fusobacteriati; Fusobacteriota. The record is from RNAcentral.